Sphaeramia orbicularis (orbiculate cardinalfish) is the source of this 570-nucleotide non-coding RNA. The record is from the annotation of a RefSeq genome assembly. NCBI's taxonomy places the organism in Eukaryota, Metazoa, Chordata, Actinopteri, Kurtiformes, Apogonidae.
GCUCACAGUUCCUCUGCACUGCCCAUAUGACAGCUCUGUUUCUCUGGGUGUUGUUGGCUGCUCUGUGCCUUGAAUGCAGAGGCCAAAACGACAACGUGAUGCAACCACAAGGAGAUGUGACGGGAGCUGAAGGAGAGGCAGUAACUCUGGGCUGUCAAUACAACAGCAGUUCUACCACUAAUUAUCUGCACUGGUACAAACAGGAAGUAAACAGUCGGCCCACAUUCAUCCUGAACCGACUCACACUGGACCAAGGAACCACAGCAGAGACGUUCAAGGAAAGAUUCACAUCCACACUGGAUCAAACAUCAAGAUCAGCUCCUCUGAAGAUCCAGAAGCUUCAUGUGUCAGACUCUGCUGUGUACUACUGUGCUCUGCAGCCCACAGUGACAGGAAACAGCAAAACUCUGAACAAAAACCUCUGGAGCAAAGACAACACAGUACUACACAACAUCCACUAGAGGGACUCACACACUGUUCACCUUCAGAGGAAAACACAACAAAUGCUGUCCCAGUUUAGAAGAAUCCACCCAGUGAGUCUGUUCUCUCCUCUGUUUCCUCUUUACAGCU